Long non-coding RNA from Apis cerana (Asiatic honeybee), 2046 nucleotides. RefSeq lists it as uncharacterized. The record is from RefSeq and is a predicted model, not a curated record. Lineage: Eukaryota; Metazoa; Arthropoda; Insecta; Hymenoptera; Apidae.
UCUGUAAUAAUAAAAUCAAUCGUUAUUACUUAUUGUUUAAUUAUUCGAUAAAUCUUCGUAUCCUUAAAAUAUCAUACGAGAGGAAUGAUUUUUCAAUAAAAAUAAAAAAAUGUCAAUAUUGCAAAACAAUUUACACGUAUGACUCGUCAUGGUAUAAUAUACGAUUUUAAUUUUUUUAUUGAAAGUUACUAUAAUAGCAACCAAGCAUAAAAGCCCUCUGGCAGCAAAGUCCGUCUCUGUGGUGUAAUGUUUAUAUUAGCUGAUGCAUCGUUCAAUUCAUCCAUUGCUUUUAUACAUACAUCAUGAUGUUUCUUUUUUUUUUUUUCAUGAAGAUUAAUAAUUUUAUAGAUUAAUUGAAACAUUGAAUCAAAAUUAAUAAAGAAUUAAUACGAGAUGCAUAUCAUGUACAUCAUCAGGGAAAAAUGAUUUUCAUCAUUAAAUUUUCGGAAUGCCUAUCUCCUUUGAAAUUUAUUGCCACGUGCAUCGGGGAAAAAAAUUUUCCCCUGUCUAUCUGAAGAGUAAUGCAAAUGAAAGCUCCCCUCUUAUUCGCCUUCUCUAUCUCGAGAGGCUUUAUAAUCGUGUCAUGAGGAGAAAGCGAAUUGAUGAAAUCAGAAAUGCAGAUCAUGACUGCACAAUUGAGAUUAAUCGUGUAUGUGUACAACUAUAGAAUAGAAACAAGAAAAAACACAUUUGUGCAUUUCUUCCAUGAAAUUUUUUAAAUUUUUGUUCGAUUUUUCUUCUUUCCUAUACGAGUAAUAAUCAGAUGAUUGUCAUGAUAUUAUAUAUAAAGAUUGUUAUUAUCGUUUUUCCUUUUUUUUGUUUGAUAAACAUUAUUUAUGUAUUAAAUUUCACAUAUUUUAUAAUAUCUAUGUUAUUUUAUGUUAUUCAUAUUUUUUUCAGAAUAGUAUUUAAUACAUUAUAUGCAUAUUUUUUAAAAGAUACAUCAAUGGUUAAAAUGCGUCUAAAGAGGGUGAAAAAGGUUUUAGUCUUUUAAAAGGGACCUAUUUUUUUCUACCAGCCGGAAAGAGAACACUCUUUACUUACCCAUUCUUCACUGUUUAUGGACUAGCUUGCAUUUUCUCUACGCUAAAAACUUUUUUGCAAUAAAAAGGCAACAUAAAUAUAGAAAUAUAGAUAUAGUUUAAAAAUAUAGAUUAAAUAAUUUUACUCGAACUUUACUUAUAUAUUUGCAACUCGAAAAAAUCUUUUCUUUUUUAUAAAUAUCUCUCUUAUCAUUCCUAUCAUCAUUCCUUACAAUUGUCAAAUCUAAAACUUCUUCUGUUUCCAGAGAUCCACUAUAAAAAGUGAAACAAACUUCACGCCAUCAUUUCGACUCAACGUUAUUCUAUACUUUUCUGAGAAAAAAGUUUCACAAGUGAAUCAACUGGCGUUCGUUUUCUCACGUUUUCCGCUCGAAAAGUUACGAUCACUCAGCCGAGACCCACCUCAUAGUUUAAUCCGGGGUGCACUUGAUUCGAGAGAUCAUGUGCAACCUGUGCCUAUAUACAGGGGUAACCGAACUCCAAAAACACCCCCAAGGGUCCAGGGCGUCCGGCACAACGUUUAAAAUAAAUUUCAAUUCGAAGCCAGAAAGGGGAGUGUGUGUAUGUGUGUGUGUAUCACUUUCAUUAGACCUCUGUCGUGUUUAACGAGCUAUUGAUAUCUUCCACUCAUUGGAUAGUACCACUGUAUAAGUAGAUUGGUAUGGGCGUAUACAUGUAUGAGCUUGCCACGGUAAUCGUUACUAUCCCCUUUUCCAGAGCUCCCUUUUUCAACCAAGGAAAUCACCAUAUGUAUGCGAUGUGUGUGUUAAAGGCGCGGUAAAACCUAUAGCGAUAUUCCAUUCUAAAGUUUUGCCCUAUGGGAAACUUCAGAUGCUCGGAUAAUUGCGGUUAAACCAGAAAAUUAGGUUCAUGACGAAUCACUGAUCACCGAGGGCGAGUUGUGGGAAGUUUUACAAGAUGAUCAUUCUUUCUUUGUGGGAUAUAUUGUCACAUCGAAUGUUGUAUCAGCUUGAUAUAAUUAUAUGAAGUUUUAAAAAUUAAA